UUGGAGGGCAAGUCUGGUGCCAGCAGCCGCGGUAAUUCCAGCUCCAAUGGCGUAUAUUAAAGUUGUUGCAGUUAAAAAGCUCGUAGUUGAAUUUCGGGGUUCUACCGUUGGUCGGGCUAUUGUCUGUACUGGCGUGUAGAAUUUCUACCUUCUGGGGAACUAUCAUGUUAUUAAUUUAGCGUGGUAGGAAACCAGGACCUUUACCUUGAAAAAAUUAGAGUGUUCAAAGCAGGCUUAUGUCUGAAUACAUUAGCAUGGAAUAAUAAAAUAGGACGGUGGUCCUGUUUUGUUGGUUUCUGAAUCACCGUAAUGAUUAAUAGGGAUAGUUGGGGGCAUUAGUAUUCAAUUGUCAGAGGUGAAAUUCUUGGAUUUAUUGAAGACUAACUACUGCGAAAGCAUUUGCCAAGGAUGUUUUCAUUAAUCAAGAACGAAAGUUAGGGGAUCGAAGACGAUCAGAUACCGUCGUAGUCUUAACCAUAAACUAUGCCGACUAAGGAUCGGACGAUGUUAACUUUUCUUGACUCGUUCGGCGCCUUACGGGAAA
RNAcentral lists this ribosomal RNA (544 nucleotides) under uncultured Glomeromycotina. RNAcentral describes it as "SSU rRNA". It matches the Rfam family "Eukaryotic small subunit ribosomal RNA", at positions 548 to 1097 of the family's 1831-position model. The record is from RNAcentral. Lineage: Eukaryota; Fungi; Glomeromycota.